GGGGUCAGGAAACAUCAAAUCUCUAGAGGCCAAGGUGCAAUGCAUUCGAGAUUGGCCCCGCCCCGUGGGGAAAAAAGAUGUGCAGUCUUUCAUAGGACUGGUGAAUUAUUAUAGGAGGUUUGUCAAUCAUUUUGCCACCCUAGCUGCUCCUCUUACCAACCUUUGUAAGAAAUCCUUGCCAGUCAAAGUAGAUUGGACUGAAGAGUGUCAAAGGGCUUUUGAUCUGUUAAAACAUGCCCUUGUGAGUUCCCAAGUUAUGUUGGCCCCAGAUCAGAGACGUCCGUUUGUGGUGCAAACUGACGUCAGUCAGACUGGGCUGGGAGCAGUUCUGCUCCAAGAAGAUCCCGAGGGAAAUUGGCGUCCCGUGGUUUACUUGAGUAAGAAACUGAUAACCCGGGAGCAAAAUUAUUCAACCAUUGAGAAAGAGUGUUUUGCUUUGGUCUGGGCUCUGACCAAAUUGCGUCCUUACCUGUGGGGUAACACCUUUGAAGUCCAAACGGAUCACUCCCCACUUUGUUGGUUGGAGAGAGUAAAGACAUCCAACCAGAAAUUGCUUCGGUGGAGUCUGGCCUUACAGGAUCUCCAGUUUAAAGUCACACAUAUUGCUGGGAAGGACAAUGUGGUUGCUGAUACCCUGUCUAGAAUGUACCAGUCUGUUGAGUGAAGUAUUACUGUGUAUUUUGCCUGAAUCCUCAGUUGGAAAAACUAUUGGUGAUUAUUGUUCUGUAACUGUGUAAAUAUCAGACUGGGGGAUGCUGCUAAUGAUUUUGGGAGCUGCUGCCCCCCCAGACUGGUCUAACUACCUCAAUGUAUAUAUUUUGUUGGAUGAAAUUGCGGGACUUAACCCUGUAAUUUCAUCUUGGAGGGGAGGGUGUAGUAAAGCUAGUAUCAUUUAGAAGCUGUUCCUUGGUCAAGCAAUGAGAGUGAGGCCUUGUGGGUAAUCAACAAGCCGCAAGGACCAUGGGAAAUAAGUUCUGUCCCUUUAACCCCAGACUAACAGGCACCCAGGGUGUGAAAGUUUUAUUAUGGGAAAGGAAACCCCUGAUUUAAUGGAAGGCCUGACACCUGGGUCCAAGUUCUGCGCAUUCCGUUAGCGAUGUUAUCUGGCCUUAAUGGCCUGGGAAUGUGCAUCUGCAGAGGCGCUACGGAAGGGAGGAAAACCUUUGAUUUAGGCUCUGGGUUCUUAAUUGGCCCAGCUGCCAGAAGUUAGAUUGAUUAGCCCACAAGCCGGUCAUUGGAGAAUUUAAAAAUAAUCAAGAGUUAUGAUUGGUUUUGGGGGUUCCGACGCCACGUGUGAAUUAGGGAUAAAAGAUCUGGGAAAUGGCUGAGAAAGUGCGCUCUGCAAUCCGCAAAUCGCCCGGCUGCUGAUGUUCCAUCUAAGUAGCUGUCUUUACAUCCUUUGUGAUGGAGAACUGCGAAAGCCUUUGAACUGCGGAACCUUGAAAGGACUCUAUCUAUUUCUUUUGUGCUUUAGUUGUGAGUAUGCAAGCUAGCUAGAUUUCACAAUGUUUUUAUUUUUCUGGUCUGUAACUUACUAAAGAUGUGCCUGCUAUUUUAGCAUGUUUUCUUAUGUUCUUUUAAAAUAAAUUUUAAAUAAGAAACUGUUUUGGUUUGUGUGCCUUUCCGGGGGAAAAGCUAAGUCCUAGCCUUCCGCUUAGUUACGCUCUACCGUAGAAUUUCUGUCUGCAAGAUUGUGGAUUCAACUUGUGGAGUGGGGAUAACCAGUAACAACAGGGCACAACCUUCUCCCUGGGUUGUGACUCUAGGUUCCCCGGAACAGAGGGAGUGGUGGCAGCUCUACCGGUGUGAUUUUGUCCUGCUUCUGUAUAACGUAACUUUGCCUGCCAGCCCUGUUCAAGAAACCUGAUCUGGCCGGAGAGCAAAGACAGGUGAGGGAGGAGCGAGCGGCUGGGGGCAACUUUACUACACCA
Podarcis lilfordi (Lilford's wall lizard) is the source of this 1931-nucleotide non-coding RNA. NCBI's taxonomy places the organism in Eukaryota, Metazoa, Chordata, Lepidosauria, Squamata, Lacertidae. The record is from the annotation of a GenBank genome assembly.